RNAcentral lists this transfer RNA (71 nucleotides) under Dendronephthya gigantea. RNAcentral's name for it is "tRNA-Gly". It matches the Rfam family "tRNA". From Rfam's summary of the family: Transfer RNA (tRNA) molecules are approximately 80 nucleotides in length. The record is from RNAcentral. Lineage: Eukaryota; Metazoa; Cnidaria; Anthozoa; Malacalcyonacea; Nephtheidae.
GCGCUGGUGGUUCAGUGGUUAAAUUCUCGCCUGCCACGCGGGAGACCGGGGUUCGGUUCCCCGCUAGCGCA